CCUACGGGUGGCUGCAGUGGGGAAUAUUGCGCAAUGGGCGCAAGCCUGACCCAGCAACGCCGCGUGAAGGAAGAAGGCUUUCGGGAUGUAAACUUCUUUUAUCAGGGACGAAACAGAUGACGGUUCCUUAUGAAUAAGCCACUGCUAACUACGUGCCAGCAGCCGCGGUAAUACGUAGGUGGCAAGCAUUAUCCGGAUUUACUGGUUGUAAAGGGGGUGUAGGCGGGAGUGCAAGUCAGAUGUGAAAACUGUGGGCUCAACCCAUAGCCUGCAUUUGAAACUGUACUGCUUGAGUGCUGGAGAGGCAAUCGGAAUUCCGUGUGUAGCGGUGAAAUGCGUAGAUAUAAGGAGGAACACCAGUGGCGAAGGCGGAUUGCUGGACAGUAACUGACGCUGAGGCGCGAAAGCGUGGGGAGCAAACAGGAUUAGAUACCCCAGUAGUC
Molecule: ribosomal RNA, 443 nt
Filed under: uncultured bacterium
Lineage: Bacteria
Description: partial 16S ribosomal RNA
Rfam family: Bacterial small subunit ribosomal RNA
Source: RNAcentral